RNAcentral lists this ribosomal RNA (271 nucleotides) under uncultured prokaryote. Its description in RNAcentral is "partial 16S ribosomal RNA". It matches the Rfam family "Bacterial small subunit ribosomal RNA", at positions 524 to 794 of the family's 1533-position model. The record is from RNAcentral.
UACGGAGGAUCCGAGCGUUAUCCGGAUUUAUUGGGUUUAAAGGGUGCGCAGGCGGGAGAUUAAGUCGGCGGUGAAAUUUUGCAGCUCAACUGUAAAAGUGCCUUCGAAACUGGUUUCCUUGAGUGUGGAUGAAGUAGGCGGAAUUUGUGGUGUAGCGGUGAAAUGCAUAGAUAUCACGAGGAACUCCGAUUGCGCAGGCAGCUUACUAAACCAUAACUGACGCUCAGACACGAAGGCGUGGGGAUCAAACAGGAUUAGAUACCCGGGUAGU